Molecule: transfer RNA, 42 nt
Filed under: Cyrtodactylus sanpelensis
Lineage: Eukaryota; Metazoa; Chordata; Lepidosauria; Squamata; Gekkonidae
Description: partial tRNA-Cys
Source: RNAcentral
AGUGCUCGGGGCUUCUCCCGUUUAGGCAGAGACGGGAGAAGG